RNAcentral lists this ribosomal RNA (208 nucleotides) under uncultured bacterium. RNAcentral's name for it is "partial 16S ribosomal RNA". It matches the Rfam family "Bacterial small subunit ribosomal RNA", at positions 568 to 774 of the family's 1533-position model. The record is from RNAcentral.
CAUGCAGGCGGUCGGACGCGUUUUGUGUGACAGCGGGUGGCUUAACUACCCGAGGAUGCGAAAGACGGUUUGACUUGAGGGCUCGAGAGGGACACGGAAUUCCGGGUGGAGUGGUGAAAUGCGUAGAGAUCCGGAGGAACACCGGAGGCGAAGGCAGUGUCCUGGCGAGUGACUGACGCUGAGGUGCGAAAAGCUAGGGGAGCGAACG